CAUGAAGCAGCUGCAAGAAUUAAUUUACCACGAAAGUUGACAUUUUCGAGCUGACUGUCUCUUAGAGAAAAUGAUGUCACCCUCUAGCAGCCUAAUGACAGUCAUCAGCCUGGGAGGACACAUGCUAAUAAGGUGUUGGAACCAGUGUUUACAUUGGGAAAGGCCAUUGCUUCAAGAGGCUGGGUCACCCUGACCUAAAGAAGGACAGGAUAGUAGAGCUGAUCCACUUCCUCUGGGAUUGUUGAGAGAUAAAAGAGAUCACGCUCUCCUACACUGUUGGUGGGAAUGCAAGCUGGUGCAGCC
Molecule: non-coding RNA, 303 nt
Organism: Leptonychotes weddellii (Weddell seal)
Lineage: Eukaryota; Metazoa; Chordata; Mammalia; Carnivora; Phocidae
Source: RefSeq, a predicted model, not a curated record